AUUGAACGCUGGCGGCAGGCCUAACACAUGCAAGUCGAGCGGAUGAAGGGAGCUUGCUCCUGGAUUCAGCGGCGGACGGGUGAGUAAUGCCUAGGAAUCUGCCUGGUAGUGGGGGAUAACGUCCGGAAACGGGCGCUAAUACCGCAUACGUCCUGAGGGAGAAAGUGGGGGAUCUUCGGACCUCACGCUAUCAGAUGAGCCUAGGUCGGAUUAGCUAGUUGGUGGGGUAAAGGCCUACCAAGGCGACGAUCCGUAACUGGUCUGAGAGGAUGAUCAGUCACACUGGAACGGAGACAGGUCACAGACCCCUGGGGGGAGCAGAAGGGGGAAAAAUGGGAAAAGGGGCGAAAGCCUUAACCAGCCAGCCCGGGGGUUUAAAGAAGGUCUUCGGAUUGUAAAGCAUUUUAAUGGGGGAGGAAGGGCAGUAAGUUAAAACCUUGCUGUUUUAACGUUACCAAAAAAAAAGGCACCGCCAAAUUCCGU
RNAcentral lists this ribosomal RNA (483 nucleotides) under uncultured bacterium. RNAcentral describes it as "partial 16S ribosomal RNA". It matches the Rfam family "Bacterial small subunit ribosomal RNA", at positions 29 to 506 of the family's 1533-position model. The record is from RNAcentral.